This is a non-coding RNA of Takifugu rubripes (torafugu), 82 nucleotides long. The record is from Rfam. Lineage: Eukaryota; Metazoa; Chordata; Actinopteri; Tetraodontiformes; Tetraodontidae.
GGUAGUGUGGCCGAGAGGUCCAAGGCGCUGGAUUAAGGCUCCAGUCUCUACGGGGGCGUGGGUUCGAAUCCCACCACUGCCA